GGGUGGUUAGCUCAGCGGUAGAGCAUCGCACUCACACUGCGGGGGUCACUGGUUCGAACCCAGUACUACCCACCA
RNAcentral lists this transfer RNA (75 nucleotides) under Burkholderiales bacterium. Its description in RNAcentral is "tRNA-Val". It matches the Rfam family "tRNA". Rfam says of the family: Transfer RNA (tRNA) molecules are approximately 80 nucleotides in length. Their secondary structure includes four short double-helical elements and three loops (D, anti-codon, and T loops). Lineage: Bacteria; Pseudomonadati; Pseudomonadota; Betaproteobacteria; Burkholderiales. RNAcentral also lists the same sequence under 1 other name. The record is from RNAcentral.